RNAcentral lists this ribosomal RNA (670 nucleotides) under uncultured bacterium. RNAcentral's name for it is "bacterial SSU rRNA". It matches the Rfam family "Bacterial small subunit ribosomal RNA", at positions 223 to 890 of the family's 1533-position model. The record is from RNAcentral.
AGAUGGACCCGCCGGCGCAUUAGCUAGUUGGUGAGGUAACGGCUCACCAAGGCGACGAUGCGUAGCCGACCUGAGAGGGUGAUCGGCCACAUUGGAACUGAGAUACGGUCCAAACUCCUACGGGAGGCAGCAGUGGGGAAUAUUGCACAAUGUGGCGAAAGCCUGAUGCAGCAACGCCGCGUGAGUGAUGAAGGCCUUCGGGGUUGUAAAGCUCUGUCUUUGGGGGACGAUAAUAAAAGGAAAACAAGGAGGAAGCCGCGGCUAACUACGUGCCAGCAGCCGCCGGUAAUACGUAGGUGGCAAGGCGUUGUCCGGAUUUACUGGGGCGGUAAAGGAUGCGUAGGUGGAUAUUUAAGUCAGAUGUGGAAAUACCCGAGCCCAACUUGGGUGCUGCAUUUGAAACUGGAUAUCUAGAGUGCAGGAGAGGUAAGUGGAAUUCCCUAGUGUAGCGGUGAAAUUGCGUAGAGAUUAGGAAGAACACCAGUGGGCGAAGGCGGACUUACUGGACUGGUAACUGACACUGAGGCAUGAAAGCGUGGGGAGCAAACAGGUUUAGAUACCCCUGGUAGUCCACGCCGUAAACUGAUGAGUCUCAAUAGGAGAGUAUCGACUCCUUCUGUGCCCGCAAGUUAACACAAUAAGUAAUUCCGCAUGAAUAGUACGGGUCGCA